CUGUGUCUGUGUGUCUUUGUGUAUGGACUCAGCAGUCUGUGUGUGUGUGUGUAUGGACUCACACAUAGACUGCUGAGUCCAUACACACACACACAGACUG
Pelobates cultripes (western spadefoot toad) is the source of this 100-nucleotide non-coding RNA. NCBI's taxonomy places the organism in Eukaryota, Metazoa, Chordata, Amphibia, Anura, Pelobatidae. The record is from the annotation of a GenBank genome assembly.